CCAAAACAAAAUAACAGCAAUCACCACAAGUACGUCUGCAAUAUGUCUGUUAAAGGUCUCUUGAUCUGGAAAGCAUCUGCUGUCUACAAACGUCUGACAGACGUCUUUCAGAUGUCAGUU
Long non-coding RNA from Sinocyclocheilus grahami, 120 nucleotides. RefSeq lists it as uncharacterized. The record is from RefSeq and is a predicted model, not a curated record. The transcript is spliced from 3 exons. NCBI's taxonomy places the organism in Eukaryota, Metazoa, Chordata, Actinopteri, Cypriniformes, Cyprinidae.